This is a long non-coding RNA of Ictalurus punctatus (channel catfish), 1423 nucleotides long. The record is from Ensembl. NCBI's taxonomy places the organism in Eukaryota, Metazoa, Chordata, Actinopteri, Siluriformes, Ictaluridae.
UUUUUUUUUUUUUUUUUUUUUUUUUUUUUUUUUUUUUUUUUUGGGUGCCCUGUCCAAGGCCUACCCUCUAUCCCAGUGGUCUCUGGACUUGCUGGAGUGGGAGGGAUACAAUGCUGACUCCUUUGCCUCUUACUGCUGUCGAUCAGCAAGCAUCUGCAGUACAGCUUCUCUUACUGUGAUACUACUGCUACUGCAACAUCCCCUCUACUACUAAUGGAACUAACCAAACUACUGCUCCUUUUCACCUUUAAUCUCCAGCGUUUUAGUUGGAAGAACUUUGCAAAAACAAAUAAAGAUAUACACGUAUAAAACAAAAAAAACAAACAUAUUUAUUUGAUUGCUGUUUGAAGGUGGAGGGUUUGGCUUUUUUGUUCAUUGCACCUGGUUGUCAUUUGCUGAUGCUAACUGGAAAGGUAAUGCUACUCUGAUUUUAGGGACCUUUUGAGAGGUCUUCUUUCACACUCUCUAGUGUCUAGUUUGCUUUAUCAUUCAACUGGAAUUAGGCCCAAGAUUGGCCAUGACUUCAUCUUUGAGUGAAAUCCCCACCACAAUAUAAGAAUGUUCUGUUGGAGAACUUCAUUCUUUCUCAUUUUCUCUCUGCUUUAUUUUGGUCUGUUGUUCUGUACAUAUAGGGCUUCACAUUUGUGACUUCUACAAAUUAAGGUAUGGGAAAUCCACCCAGUGGUUCUCAUACCAGAGAGAUAGAAUGACAACUUGUACCUAACAGUAUAUAUUCUUAAACAAAAGAUAUUCAUAUUUCACUACACCUAGGUCAUUGUUAAUUCUUCACUUCAGAAGUCAUUGAGCGUUAGCAAAAAAUUAGAUUACCAUGCAAAAUGACCCGAAAUCUAAUUUCAAUAUUCUUCAGUCACACUCCAUACAACCCUUUAAAGUUUUGGGAGGUGUAAAAAAAACAGUACCAAGGUCCUUAAACUUUAAAAUGUUUUUUUUUGUGUGUGUGUGUGUGGUGAUCACCACCACAUCAGUAUAAUGAUUUUGAAAUCCUUCAGGUCCUAGAAUUUUUUUUUCAUACAUGGUAGCACAUGGAUCUCAUGAUAAACGUUAGUGGAACACUAGGUGUAGAGUUCACUAGGUGUGUCUAGUGUGCCCUUGUGGCAGCCACCUUCUUUCUUCGUGGUAACGGCACCAUUUGCUUUAUCUUGCCCGUCUCAGGUUUUAAAUCUUUACUUUGUUUUGCGAGAUCCAACUUGGUCAUUUUGUCCCCUCACAUGCUUUGCACGGGUCAUCCAAUGACCCUUUUAUCAUUUUGACUCUAACUCCUAUAGAUGAUCCCGAUUCGAUUUGGCCACUGGCCUAAACAUUUGUAUCACUGUUCUUUGUUUGUCUCCAUCUCUCUCAUUUUAAUGUAAACUCUCCAAAGCUACAGGGAGUUCUUUUUCUGAUUUGGAGUAAGGCAAGCACA